RNAcentral lists this ribosomal RNA (853 nucleotides) under Zasmidium biverticillatum. RNAcentral's name for it is "eukaryotic LSU rRNA". It matches the Rfam family "Eukaryotic large subunit ribosomal RNA", at positions 54 to 943 of the family's 3401-position model. Lineage: Eukaryota; Fungi; Ascomycota; Dothideomycetes; Mycosphaerellales; Mycosphaerellaceae. The record is from RNAcentral.
AGGAAAAGAAACCAACAGGGAUUGCCCUAGUAACGGCGAGUGAAGCGGCAACAGCUCAAAUUUGAAACCUGGCGCAAGCCCGGAUUGUAAUUUGUAGAGGAUGCUUCUGGGCAGCGGCCGUUCUAAGUUCCUUGGAACAGGACGUCAUAGAGGGUGAGAAUCCCGUAUGUGACCGGCGCGCACCCUCCACGUAGCUCCUUCGACGAGUCGAGUUGUUUGGGAAUGCAGCUCUAAAUGGGAGGUAAAUUUCUUCUAAAGCUAAAUACCGGCCAGAGACCGAUAGCGCACAAGUAGAGUGAUCGAAAGAUGAAAAGCACUUUGGAAAGAGAGUUAAAAAGCACGUGAAAUUGUUGAAAGGGAAGCGCUUGCAACCAGACUCCGCGGCGGUGUUCCGCCGGUCUUCUGACCGGUCCACUCGCCGCCGUGGGGCCAACAUCGUCUGGGGCCGCCGGAUAAGACCCGAGGAAUGUAGCUCAUUGAGUGUUAUAGCCUCGGGGGAUGCGGCGCGCCCCGGGCGAGGUCCGCGCCUCGGCAAGGAUGUUGGCGUAAUGGUUGUCAGCGGCCCGUCUUGAAACACGGACCAAGGAGUCUAACAUCUAUGCGAGUGUUCGGGUGUCAAACCCCUACGCGUAAUGAAAGUGAACGGAGGUGGGAACCGCAAGGUGCACCAUCGACCGAUCCUGAUGUCCUCGGAUGGAUUUGAGUAAGAGCAUAGCUGUUGGGACCCGAAAGAUGGUGAACUAUGCCUGAAUAGGGUGAAGCCAGAGGAAACUCUGGUGGAGGCUCGCAGCGGUUCUGACGUGCAAAUCGAUCGUCAAAUUUGGGUAUAGGGGCGAAAGACUAAUCGAACCAU